Molecule: long non-coding RNA, 411 nt
Filed under: Homo sapiens (human)
Lineage: Eukaryota; Metazoa; Chordata; Mammalia; Primates; Hominidae
Description: MAMDC2 antisense RNA 1
Source: RNAcentral
AAAGUACCUGGACCUCUAUGCCCAUGCUUCUAGCAGCCAGCCUCCUAAAAUACCUCUAGUUGAAGCCAAAGUUAGAAUCCUUCUACGAAACUACAGGAUUAAAAUGGAAUGGUUACAUGACCCAGGCUUGACCAAUCAGAUCAUCCAAACCCUUUGCCACAGUGAUUGGUCCAGGGAUACAUGCAUGAGCCAGCUCAGGCCUAAGCCACACUCAUCUUGUGGAUGACACUGGAGCUGUGACAGUCUGUUCUGUCCAGGCAGGGUGUCUUUUAUUUUUAUUGGAAAUAAGAUUAUCACAGUACGCAAGGCCCAAACAAUUGGUGAUAAUGAAGAAACUCUACUACCAGACGUUGCGGGAUGCCUCAAUGACCUAAUCCAGUAAAUCACAGCUCCAGCUGUCCAUGAGCUCUG